GUAAGGAAUAUUGGUCAAUGGGGGCAACCCUGAACCAGCCAUGCCGCGUGAAGGAUGAAGGCGUUAUGCGUUGUAAACUUCUUUUGUAUGGGAAGAAUGACAGGGAUUCAUCCUUGGAGAGACGGUACCAUACGAAUAAGCACCGGCUAACUCCGUGCCAGCAGCCGCGGUAAUACGGAGGGUGCAAGCGUUAUCCGGAAUCACUGGUUUUAGAGGGUACGUAGGCGGUUAAUUAAGUCAGUAGUGAAAGACUGUCGCUCAACGACGGAUGUGCUAUUGAUACUGGUUAACUUGAAUCAGGUUAGAGUUGGCGGAAUGGGUCAUGUAGCGGUGAAAUGCUUAGAUAUGACUUGGAACACCGAUAGCGAAGGCAGCUGACUGAGCCUUGAUUGACGCUGAGGUACGAAAGCGUGGGGAUCGAACAGGAUUAGAAACCCGUGUAGUCC
This 446-nucleotide ribosomal RNA is filed under the name uncultured bacterium. RNAcentral describes it as "partial 16S ribosomal RNA". It matches the Rfam family "Bacterial small subunit ribosomal RNA", at positions 354 to 796 of the family's 1533-position model. The record is from RNAcentral.